Molecule: ribosomal RNA, 349 nt
Filed under: Polyporaceae sp. 253-122
Lineage: Eukaryota; Fungi; Basidiomycota; Agaricomycetes; Polyporales; Polyporaceae
Description: eukaryotic LSU rRNA
Rfam family: 5.8S ribosomal RNA (bases 1-105)
Source: RNAcentral
GAAAUGCGAUAAGUAAUGUGAAUUGCAGAAUUCAGUGAAUCAUCGAAUCUUUGAACGCACCUUGCGCUCCUUGGUAUUCCGAGGAGCACACCUGUUUGAGUGUCGUGAAAUUCUCAACCUAACUGCCCUUGUUGGUUUUGUUAGGCUUGGAUAAUGGAGGCUUGCUGGCUACUUGGUAGUAGGCUCCUCUCAAAUGCAUUAGCUUGGUUCCUUGUGGAUCAGCUCUCGGUGUGAUAAUUGUCUACGCCGUGACUGUGAAAUGUUUGGCAAGCUUCUAACAGUCUCUUAGGGAGAUAUCUAAUAUUUGACAUCUGACCUCAAAUCAGGUGGGACUACCCGCUGAACUUAA